Molecule: ribosomal RNA, 497 nt
Filed under: uncultured bacterium
Lineage: Bacteria
Description: partial 16S ribosomal RNA
Rfam family: Bacterial small subunit ribosomal RNA
Source: RNAcentral
GAUGAACGCUGGCGGCGUGCCUAAUACAUGCAAGUCGAGCGAAAAGACGAGGAGCUUGCUCCUCUGACGUUAGCGGAGGACGGGUGAGUAACACGUGGAUAACCUACCUAUAAGACUGGGAUAACUUCGGGAAACCGGAGAUAAUACCGGAUAAUAUAUUGAACCGCAUGGUUCAAUAGUGAAAGACGGUUUUGCUGUCACUUAUAGAUGGAUCCGCGCCGCAUUAGCUAGUUGGUAAGGUAACGGCUUACCAAGGCGACGAUGCGUAGCCGACCUGAGAGGGGGAUCGGCCACACUGGAACUGAGACACGGUCCAGGCUCCUACGGGAGGCAGCAGUAGGGAAUCUUCCGCAAUGGGCGAAAGCCUGACGGAGCAACGCCGCGUGAGUGAUGAAGGUCUUCGGAUCGUAAAACUCUGUUAUUAGGGAAGAACAAAUUUGUAAGUAACUAUGCACGUCUUGACGGUACCUAAUCAGAAAGCCACGGCUAACUACGUG